RNAcentral lists this ribosomal RNA (1343 nucleotides) under uncultured bacterium. RNAcentral describes it as "16S ribosomal RNA". It matches the Rfam family "Bacterial small subunit ribosomal RNA", at positions 28 to 1378 of the family's 1533-position model. The record is from RNAcentral.
GACGAACGCUGGCGGCGUGCUUAACACAUGCAAGUCGAACGGAAAGGCCCUGCUUUUGUGGGGUGCUCGAGUGGCGAACGGGUGAGUAACACGUGAGUAACCUGCCCUUGACUUCGGGAUAACUUCAGGAAACUGGGGCUAAUACCGGAUAGGAGCUCCUGCUGCAUGGUGGGGGUUGGAAAGUUUCGGCGGUUGGGGAUGGACUCGCGGCUUAUCAGCUUGUUGGUGGGGUAGUGGCUUACCAAGGCUUUGACGGGUAGCCGGCCUGAGAGGGUGACCGGCCACAUUGGGACUGAGAUACGGCCCAGACUCCUACGGGAGGCAGCAGUGGGGAAUAUUGCACAAUGGGCGGAAGCCUGAUGCAGCAACGCCGCGUGCGGGAUGACGGCCUUCGGGUUGUAAACCGCUUUCGCCUGUGACGAAGCGUGAGUGACGGUAAUGGGUAAAGAAGCACCGGCUAACUACGUGCCAGCAGCCGCGGUGAUACGUAGGGUGCGAGCGUUGUCCGGAUUUAUUGGGCGUAAAGGGCUCGUAGGUGGUUGAUCGCGUCGGAAGUGUAAUCUUGGGGCUUAACCCUGAGCGUGCUUUCGAUACGGGUUGACUUGAGGAAGGAAGGGGAGAAUGGAAUUCCUGGUGGAGCAGUGGAAUGCGCAGAUAUCAGGAGGAACACCAGUGGCGAAGGCGGUUCUCUGGGCCUUUCCUGACGCUGAGGAGCGAAAGCGUGGGGAGCGAACAGGCUUAGAUACCCUGGUAGUCCACGCUGUAAACGGUGGGUACUAGGUGUGGGGUCCAUUCCACGGGUUCCGUGCCGUAGCUAACGCUUUAAGUACCCCGCCUGGGGAGUACGGCCGCAAGGCUAAAACUCAAAGGAAUUGACGGGGCCCCGCACAAGCGGCGGAGCAUGCGGAUUAAUUCGAUGCAACGCGUAGAACCUUACCUGGGUUUGACAUGGAUCGGGAGUGCUCAGAGAUGGGUGUGCCUCUUUUGGGGUCGGUUCACAGGUGGUGCAUGGCUGUCGUCAGCUCGUGUCGUGAGAUGUUGGGUUAAGUCCCGCAACGAGCGCAACCCUUGUUCACUGUUGCCAGCACGUUAUGGUGGGGACUCAGUGGAGACCGCCGGGGUCAACUCGGAGGAAGGUGGGGAUGACGUCAAGUCAUCAUGCCCCUUAUGUCCAGGGCUUCACGCGUGCUACAAUGGCUGGUACAGAGAGUGGCGAGCCUGUGAGGGUGAGCGAAUCUCGGAAAGCCGGUCUCAGUUCGGAUCGGGGUCUGCAACUCGACCUCAUGAAGUCGGAGUCGCUAGUAAUCGCAGAUCAGCAACGCUGCGGUGAAUACGUUCCCGGG